RNAcentral lists this ribosomal RNA (360 nucleotides) under uncultured bacterium. Its description in RNAcentral is "bacterial SSU rRNA". It matches the Rfam family "Bacterial small subunit ribosomal RNA", at positions 15 to 403 of the family's 1533-position model. The record is from RNAcentral.
GAUCAUGGCUCAGAAUGUACGCUGGCGGCACGCCUAACACAUGCAAGUCGAGCGAGGUACUUGUACCUAGCGGCAGACGGGUGCGUAACAUGUGGGAAUCUGCCUUUUGGUUCGGAACAACACGGGGAAACCUGUGCUAAUACCGGAUAAGUCCUUACGGAGAAAGAUUUAUCGCCGAAAGAUGAGCCCGCACUAGAUUAGCUUGUUGGUAAGGUAAAAGCUUACCAAGGCUACGAUCUAUAGCUGAUUUGAGAGGAUGAUCAGCCACACUGGGACUGAGACACGGCCCAGACUCCUACGGGAGGCAGCAGUGGGGAAUCUUGCACAAUGGAGGAAACUCUGAUGCAGCGAUGCCGCGUG